CGGGUGAGUAACACGUGGAUAACCUACCUAUAAGACUGGGAUAACUUCGGGAAACCGGAGCUAAUACCGGAUAAUAUUUUGAACCGCAUGGUCCAAAAGUGAAAGACGGUCUUGCUGUCACUUAUAGAUGGAUCCGCGCUGCAUUAGCUAGUUGGUAAGGUAACGGCUUACCAAGGCAACGAUGCAUAGCCGACCUGAGAGGGUGAUCGGCCACACUGGAACUGAGACACGGUCCAG
RNAcentral lists this ribosomal RNA (237 nucleotides) under uncultured Staphylococcus sp. RNAcentral's name for it is "partial 16S ribosomal RNA". It matches the Rfam family "Bacterial small subunit ribosomal RNA", at positions 103 to 334 of the family's 1533-position model. Lineage: Bacteria; Bacillati; Bacillota; Bacilli; Caryophanales; Staphylococcaceae. The record is from RNAcentral.